CCUACGGGUGGCAGCAGUGGGGGAUAUUGCACAAUGGGGGGAACCCUGAUGCAGCGACGCCGCGUGGGUGAAGGAGUGCUUCUGCAUGUAAAGCUCUAUCUGUACGGAAGAAGCAAGACGGUACCUGAUUUAGAAGCCCCGGCUAACUACGUGCCAGCAGCCGCGGUAAUACGCAGGGGGCGAGCGUUAUCCGGAUUCACUGGGUGUAAAGGGAGCGUAGACGGCCAUGCAAGCCAGAGGUGAAAGCCCGGGGCUCAAGCCCGGGACUGCCCUUGGGACUGCAUGGCUAGAGUGCAGGAGGGGCAGGCGGAAUGCAUGGUGUAGCGGUGAAAUGCGUAGAGAUCAGGAAGAACACCGGCGGCGAAGGCGGCCUGCUGGACCGCUACUGACGUUGAGGCUCGAAAGCGUGGGGAGCGAACAGGAUUAGAUACCCGUGUAGUC
RNAcentral lists this ribosomal RNA (441 nucleotides) under uncultured bacterium. RNAcentral's name for it is "partial 16S ribosomal RNA". It matches the Rfam family "Bacterial small subunit ribosomal RNA", at positions 338 to 795 of the family's 1533-position model. The record is from RNAcentral.